RNAcentral lists this long non-coding RNA (1372 nucleotides) under Pogona vitticeps (central bearded dragon). RNAcentral describes it as "lncRNA (ENSPVIG00000022194.1)". The record is from RNAcentral. Lineage: Eukaryota; Metazoa; Chordata; Lepidosauria; Squamata; Agamidae.
AUGUAUUCCAUCCCAAGAGUCUUAAUGACCCAGACAUUUUCCGGUUUCUCCCCUAAAACUGUUGCUUGUCACAACAUACCAGAUAUGACAUUAAGAUGGGAACAUGUCAAGCCCAUAGGUCAACCUUCCCCGAGUUGUUGCCCUGCAGAGGAGCUUGACUCCAGCCCCUCGCCCACCAGCAUGAUCCACAGAGGUGAGAAGAGUUUUUGUCCAAUCCAUCUGGAAGGUUCAGCGUUGGGAAAUGUUGCCACAGGUGAAUAUGUCUGGGCAAGGAAUUAUGAAAUCUGCAAGCCAAUGGUUGGUAGUGAUGAAACCCUGCAUUGGGCCCAAAUCCAGGGUAACCUCCAGCUUCUUCCAAAUGUUGAAGUAUGAUUUGUCCUGUUCUUGUCUAUAAAUAGAAAGAAACUGUGACUUCGGCAAAGUCACAAAAUUCAGAAAUGUCAAUCAACAUUUGCCUCAGCUGAUGGACUAAAGUUACCUUACCUGCAUCCCUACUGCAAGUGAGGUAAGAUUUUAUUGAAUCUUCUUUUUCUUGCUUACACAUGCCUCAGUUGUGCUAAGAUAAGACACCAAUUGUACCAUGCAGUAAAUUAUAUUCUUUCCACCAGCCUCCUUCUGUGACUCUGUUUUUCUACCACCACAGAGAUUGGACCAUCCAGAGGCAACAUGUACUUGUUCAGAUUUAAUGCCAGACAUCUCCUGUCCUCAGCUGACAUUUGUUUGCCUCCAAAUAUCCAACAUACUGCUUGAGUUGAGUCAUGGCCCAGAGGAAGUUGUUGUUGUUGUUGUGUGCUCUCAAGUUGAAACUAACCAGCUUCUAGUGAUCCUAACAAGGUUGCAAGUGAAGUGAGAUAUUUAAAGAGUGGUUCUACCAGUUCCACACACCCAGUGAGUUUCUAUGGCUUAUUUGAACCCAGGCCUGCCGAGUCCUAGUCUGUUAUUCUGUCCACACCACACUCAGUGAAAGGGACUUGCCCCAAAAUUUGCUGGGGAAGUGCCCCCCCUUAUGGUCAUCAGCUGCUUGUGGGAGACUGGAGAUCAUCCUCAAAGAAUACAGGCAAUAACUGUCCGGUAUCUUAAGAAGAAGGCAGAGAAGGAGCUAGUUGGAAAACAUCUAUAAUAUUUUCUCAAGUGAAAUGGAUUGCCCACGAAAGAGAGUUUUUGCAGAAAAUGCUGAAUUUAAAACAUACACAUAAACACAGAAACAGAAGAUUUUUGUCAUCAUUUUCUUCAGUACUUACAUGCUUUCAUUUGCAAAUGAUCAUACGUCUGUUUUGUUGAGAUUUCAGGGAAGCGGGUUUUGCUCCACAAUUACCCACCCUGCACACCAUCACUGUGGGAAGAACAGAUGGCCAGAGGCUGUCUGAGGGCA